Molecule: long non-coding RNA, 12246 nt
Filed under: Xyrichtys novacula (pearly razorfish)
Lineage: Eukaryota; Metazoa; Chordata; Actinopteri; Labriformes; Labridae
Source: RNAcentral
GCUUAAAGACCCACUCUGAUGAAAAUCAUGUUUUUCUCGUUGUCUACAUGUUCAUAUGGCAUUUUCCUGAUGCUACACAACAUAUCAUGAGAAAACUAAGCGAAAAAUCGCAUUUCUGAGUAAUCUCUGACAGACCCCAACAGCAGACUCAGAUGCAGUGAGAAUUCCUACGUAGCAAAUCCAAGCACUGCCCCCAGAGUCCCACUAUGUAGGCCUCACUAGGAAAAGUAGAGUGGACGAUCGCGAAACAAGCAUGUGCGUUAACAGAUUGCAAUGCUCAUAAGAAAGCUAAUUAUGAAAUUAGCUUUCAUCAUGUCCCCAAAGACAAUAGUGUCCGAGAGCUGAAUAGCGCCUUUGUUACCUGCUACUUCUACGACACCGGCAAUGUCAUGACUCAGAGGCCAAUUGCUAAUGAGCUACUGAAGCUCUGCAGUAGAAAAGCCCUUAAAAAAUGACACAGGUAACUUGAUGUUGGCUAAAAACUUCAAAAUCACAAUUUAAAGACAUCUGACAUCACUUUAAGUAAUAAAUAAAAAACAAUCGGAGUGGGACUUUAAACAUCCGUUAAGGCUCCAUUAAUGCUAAAUACUAUAACUUGGUUUACAAGCAACAUAUGCUGCCAUCCAGACCAUGAUUUUUCAGUAAAGAUCUCAUCGAUGCCUGAGUCCAAGUGGAGUCACGAGUCUCUAAAACCGACAACUUGGACCCGAGCACGACAGCAUAUUUACUGCUUUAAAGAAGUACGGUAAGAGACAGAGAAUAGUAAAAAAGUAAAUGACACUUCCUUGAAAUUGCCUUUGUUAAAAUCCAGUCCUCAGACAGAGUAUUAUUUAAUUCAUGUCAGUUAUAUAAAGAGGCCCAAGCUCAUAAAAAAGCCUCCUUUAAACAGCCCCUGCACCACAGCAUUAUUCCUGUUCCUAAUGGGUUUUAUACAAGCCAAUGAAUAACACAGUUUGCUGUAAAAGACCCUGAAAUAAAACUGAAAAAUAGGAGUUUAAGAGUUUUGUUAACAAAGGUAUGCGAUUGCUUUGUAAUGUGCUUUUGCUCCCUGGGUUUUAAUGCACUGAGACUGUAUAGGCUAUGUUGUGUCUGUGCAUAAUCUAGGGCAUAUUCAUUAUGAAAACAACACUUUACUCCAGUGGCAAAAUGAUGUUGACCUUUGUGAAAUCGAAUACUAGCAAAGCAUGUCUCAUUGUUCAAAGAUAAUAGCUGGGCAACAUUCCUUGUAAGGCAGAUGAUGUUACUGGCAUGCUGAGUGCCAGCCCCGCUAUUGGGUGGGUGUCGGGCUGCUGAUGACUCAUUCUUCAUCUGCUUUAGAGAGCCCAGGGUGACAGGUUUCUGUUUUAGCUGCUGUUACAAAGUGCUUCCUGUCGUUGGUGAAUUAUACUUUAUAUAGAUAAGUGAUUGUGCAGAAAAUCUCCUUUUGUCUUUGCAACACCUACCUGAGGUUUACUCAGCACGGCGUGUUCGAGAGGAGGAGGAGGAGGAGGAAGGAGGAGAAAGGGAGAAGGGAAAAGAGAAGGAGACUGUGGGCCAGCCACCCAAAAGAAGCCUGGUUUAUUCCUCAGGGAAAUUGCAUCACAUAUUGAUCCAUGUUCCUGCAUCUAAUGGACACAGAGGGUGGAAUUGCUGGUGGCAAUUGGGAAAUAGCUAUGAGAGUAACAAGGAGUCAUUAAGGCAUAAAAGCUAGGUUAGUCACCUGAGGACCUCUCACCUGCCUUCACACAGUCCUCUCAGAGCAGGCUGCCUCCACCGCCACAUAUAGCGAGGAGCAGGAUUGGCAAAGCAGCAGGUUCACCGGCUCAGGCGAGCAUUUGUCUCCAUUACAGCCCUCACACCGGCAAAUAAACAGGGGAGACAGACAAUCAUUCUACAUUACAUCCAUGACUAUAGCACUUUACAUUUUCUAUCAGUGUAACAGACUCCCUGGGCCAUCUCGCAAUCCUCACAUUCAUUUUUUACUGCCUUGUGCACGUUCUGCUCCUCAUGUGCACAGAUGGAGCUUUAACCAGGGAGGGAUUUCCGCUACUGCUGUAACAUUAAUGGUCCUUUCUCCAAGGCGAGACUCAAAACAAGGUCUGGAUCCUAACCCAAAUCUGUCAUGCCAUCAGAGCCGUGUUGCAGCACUUCAAAACAAAACAAAAAAAACUCAAUGCAAAAUGUAGCCUUCAGUACCAGUCUGCACCUUCAUUAUUGUUUCCCCUUCAAGCUUAAAGUGCGGACCACGGAAAGGGCAGCAGGUAGGUUUCAACUCACCGUGGAUUAGUUUCCUUCAACGGAAAAUGUAUUCAAAAGGUUUUGAAAGCAGCAAAAGCAAAAUUGAAGGCUAAACAAGAAUAAAAAAGCGAGAGUGGAGCAGCCUGCAGAGAGGGGAUCUGUGAUUAUCAUUGAAGUAGAAGGAAGUGGGAGGACCAGCUUCACAGUGAUUUUACUCUGUUGGUCUCACAGUCUGAUUUAAUGCAGAACCUUAAGGCUGCACAAAAGAAGAAAUGUUGGUCUCAUAGCAUCUGUUUUUUUUCUUCACACUCUCUAAACAGGCUAAACUAAAUAUUCUAUUACAAUAUAUUUGCUAUGGAUCUUUUCUGCAAAUAAACAUCUCAAACAAUCGCAUCGCAAUUCAAAUACUCUAUUAUUCUUCGAGCCGGCAGAAAAUUUCACACAUCUCAGGCACUUACCUGCAUGUAAAUUAUUGAUCACCUUUCAACUGCUUAAAAAAACGAAUCAGCUCCGUGCAUGUAAAUAAGGUGCCGCACUUAGCUGAGGUGUUUCACCCUGGUGUCAAGACUGGCAGUGAUUUUGAUUUGGUGCCAUUUGGAUAUUAAGUGCAGUGGAUAUUGAGUGCUAUUACAGCCAGGGACAGGCAGCACAUCAAUCUCUGUCAAAGAAGUGGAAAUGUGUCUCCAGACAGACAGCAGCCAAGAAGGAGCUACAGAAGCUAACGCCAGCUGCAUAAAAUAGUGGAAUCCCAGGAGUGAUGGGAAACUAGUUCUGUAUAAUGAACCGUGUAUGAGCUUUGAGCAUCACAUCUCGGACAUGUAUUAUGCACUAUAUACACGCUAAGGUAUAGCGUAUCUUCUGUUAGUCCUUGGACUCCAACAUCAUGCCUGAUGCAUACAAAACUAACCCAUUUAGUGAUACAUCAGCUGUCAUUUUAAGAUACACAUCAAUAGGUGUGAGACAUAUUCCACAGUGUUUUUCAGAGGAAUCCUCUGACUUUAAAAUCAAGCUUUUUUUUUUUUUUCUUCCACCAAAUUCACUGGUAACACUCUAUGAUAGCAAUCAGUAGAAUGUCAUUCAUACGGUUCAUAUGGAGUAUUAGAGCCACAUUAAGAAGAAAAAUUAAGACUUUGAGAUUAAAGUUGUUAAUUUACGAGAAUAAGGUAAUCACUAACAAGAAUAAAGUCAUAAUAAAGGAGUUACUUUCGAGAAUAAAGUUGUAAUAAAAUCAUUACUUAAGAGAAUAAAGUCGUAAUAAAGUAAUUAUUUACAAGAACUAAAUCCUAGUAAAGCAAUUAUUUACGAGAAUAAAGUCAUAAUAAAAUCAUUACUUCUGAAAGUCUGUAUUUUCUAACCUGUUCUUUAAGAUGCCAGUUGUUAAAAUGAAAGUCAUGGAGCAUUUCGUAAAAAUGGACUUCAAUAUACGUUUCUCAAACAAGGAGAUACUUUAUCUUUUGGCACAUCAGCACCACAUUAUCAUAAGAAGCCUGUUCUAUAAUUUUAUUAUGACUCAAUUCUCAUAAGUAACUACUUUAUUACGACGUUAUUCUCCUAAGUAAUGACUUUAUUCUCGUAAGUUGACGAUUUUAAUCUUGAAGUCUUUUUUUUUUUAAUGUGGUCCUAAUACACCGUCAUACAUCCAUAAGUCACUACCUAAUGAUGAGCAAAAACAUCAAAAAACAUGUGUCAAUGAUAAUAUGUUGUUAAAAAUAUGUUAGUUAAUAAUGUAAUAAUAUAUGUUUGUUGAUAAGAUGUUUAGAAUCACAAAUAUAUUGUAAAUGAUUUGUAAACUAUGAAAUAUUUCAGAACAAAUCAUUAGUAAAUGAUUACUUAAUGAUUUGUUGAUCUAUUAUGAAUGACGUGUGAGCCAUACAAAGUGAAAACAAGGUAUCAGUAUUAAUGAAUAUUAAUACAAAUGAUUAAUUUAUUGUGAAAUAUUGAUUAACUUAUCAUUAGUAAAUGUUUAUCUAAUGCUUAUAAAUGGCAUACUAAUGAUUGUUGUUAUAAAGUGUUACCAGUUCACUUCAGUGGGGUGACAUAAUACAAAUUAUUAUCGCUGUUUUACAUAUUGCAGGAAUUAUCAUAAAAUCACAGUUUUUUUCUGGCAUUUUUACCUCGGGACAGCUGAGGAGAGACGAGAAACGCAGGGACUAAAGAGAAUAAAGGAAGACAUACGGUAAAUGGUCGUGCGUGGUUUGGAUUUGAAUAAGCAACAGCUGCACUGUGAAUACGGGGUGCAUAAUCAAACUCCUAGACCAACAGCACUCCAAAGUAACACAUUUGAGCUGUUUUCUAUUGUUGCACAAAACACAACUGAUACAAAGCAUCACUUUUUACCUGUAAGAGGGAAAAGGUUCAGACCGAACUCAUGCGUAAAUACUCAAUUGCAUUCAGCAAUGUGUGGUUUUUAUGCAGCAGUGUAGCUCUUUCUGCUAUCACCACCCCUAUGAUAUUAUUAUUCUUUCCCAAACUACAUUUACAACGAUUUGAGUUUUCACAGAAUUAGAUGGUAUAUGGAUAACUGAGGAAAUCAACUGUCUUGACAUGAAUUGAGUCAAAUUGAAAGAAAGGUUAACUAUUGUAAGUACAUUUACACCAACAGAUGUACAUGUUGCAAUCUCUUCUGUAUUAAUAGAAACUUUACACACCAUUUUAAAUCUUAAAGUUGUAAAGCAUGUUGUGUUUUAAAUAUUUGUGUCAUUUUGAUGCAUCUUGUCAAAAUUAAUGGACUUUAUAUGGACUGUAUGAUAUAGCACACUCAUGGCAGAAGCUGCCGUGUAGAGAACCACCAUAUAUAACAAAUUUCAUUGACAUACCACUGAGAAUAGCCAGCGAGGGCAGGUUGGGAUCAAGUGUCUUACUCAAGGACAUUACAGCAUGUGGAAAGCAGGACCUGAGAUUAAACCCUGGACCUUCUGCUGAGGAGACAACCAACGUUACCCCUGAGCCACAGGCAGACACAUCUUUGUGCUGACUUAUUCAACACCAUUGGUAUAUUCAAACAACAUACACAUCAGAUUUGUUGAAUCCAGAACAUGUGAAAAAAACACUAGUACACCAUGCACUGUGCUUUAACACAUCUGUUCUGCAGGACUGACAGCUUCAGCUUCAGCUUAUGGUAGCACUGAUGGGUGAGGUACUGACAGACCUGCUGCAUGUAACCGUUUCACAAAGACUUGCACCACCCCCCUCUGCUGGUCACUUAUUGACUUUAAUGGAGGAAUCUUCAAUUGAACCAGCUCUCCACAAGGUUUGCUCCCUUCAUACUAUACCACCACAGGUCUCUUUAAAUGACCAGAUGAAUGUUCAUAAGUGAUGCUGCUAAACUGGUUUGCCUUGCUGUACAACCAGCAUGCUUUGUGCACCAAAGCUGUUGCUUGCGUCUUCUGUAACUGUAACAUGAUAAAAUAGUUCUCCCUGCAGUUGAAACUGGCAUAAUGGUCACACAAGUGUAAAAGUCACAUAUCACUUUUUUGAUGAUAAAAAGAGUUUAAAAUACGUCUAAAAUGCCAGAUUUUACAGUAAGUAAUUAUUAUGCAUCAAAAAAAGCAGUGUCAUGCAUUUUAGUGACUGAACCUUGCAAAGUUUAUAAAAUCCUGCUGUGGACAGACACUUCAACGAUUCAGCAUUUUGUUAAAAACACUGACACUUUUGGGUGUUUCAGGAUGUCACUGUAUGUAUGUGUUAAAAAAAAACAAAAAAUCUAUUAAAUAACUAAUAAAAGCUGGUCAGAGGCAGUCUGUCCAUCUGUACCUCACUUUUCGUGCAGGUAGCUCACUUGAUGGCGAAAUCAGAUGGUAACAUAAUUAGCUACAUGGUUGCACAGAAAUUGAACAUUGCUGACUUUACUGAACUAAGUGGAAGUUUCUCAUGCGAGAAGACAGCUAGAUACUCCUAAAAGAAAUCCAUCUUUGCUCCAAUAUAAAUAGAAUUUAAUCCAUUUCUGUCAACGAUGCUGAAUUAUUUUGGAUUAUGGGUUGUAAAUAUCUCUCAUGCUUGCAAAAACAACUGAACAGGCUUUGAUUCGGUGCAAUAAUGUAGUUGCAAUCCCAGAAUCCACCACCCAUCAUUGAUCAACACUGCAGUUUCUGACCAGUUUCUCUCUUUUACCUCUGUACGACUUCCUCUAACACUCACUACAGAUUUACAUUUGAAGAAGUCUUGGCUCGUGGAACCAAAAUCCAGAUAUCUGGCAACUCUGAAAUCCCCAAAUAAAAGCCAUCAGCCCUGUGAGGCUAAAUCUUCAUCACACGACAGCUAAUGAGUUCUGCAGCUGACAGCUCUGCAGCAUAUGUGGAGAAUGCUGUGCAUAUUUGUGGAAGAUCUGCAGAGCUCUGGCUCUCUUCUGGCACUGCUACUUUUGGCUCUGAGCUACCUCUCACGGGAUCCCCCUACUAAAAAGUUACCUGAUGAGCCUUGGUCCUCACAGAGAAUCUAAGGAUGAGGGGGGGGGAGAGGGGUAGGUAAAAACAGAGACAGAGCAAAAGAGAAAGCUCUCAUUAUUUCUCCCUAAUUGCCCACGAGUGACCCUCCUGAUUCCCCCCUCUGCAACCAGGUACGGUGCCUCAUUACAGGCAGCCUCCUCAGUUCUCCCAGGAGGAACCCAUGAAAAGGCCAUGAAAGGCCUCGUCUGACAGGGGCCAGCCAGACUGGACCAAUUAACAGGGUUUUUCUGUGCUCUGACUUGCCACACUGCAGUUUGCAACUCAUCUACGGUGUGAGACUUGCAGCCGUCCUGGGUCAGGUUGGGAUGGUUUGUUCAGAGGGUAGAAAGGGAUAAAGGAUAAGGGCAGCGCCAUCUUGCCUCCAUUAACAUGUUUCUCAUGCUGCCUCUCACUUUUUCUUACUUUCUCGAGGACUUUUAAAAGCUUUUUUGGGCGAGGAUUAAACAAUAAUUGAAGUUGAGGCAUGUUAAUAUUCUAUUCAGGGUGCAAAAAAAGGUGUUAUUAUGAGUUUCGGAUAACCACUCAAGCUGCAACAGGCUAUUAAAGGUUUAAAAUAUAGAUGUUUUCUGGUGACCUGGCACCACUGCUCCAUGAAGGCCAAAAGAAAUCGUCGCUCAGCCUCCCAGUGUCAGGUGACUUAGUGUGUAUCUGAAUAAAUGACCCAGUCAAGGUGAGUUCCCCGUGUCAAACCAGGAGCAUCAAAGACAAACCACGCAACCUUGCCAGAGGGCCUGUUUUCCUUUCACCUGGAGGACUCCAUUUUCACUCUCCAAGGCUCGAUGCAUUCAUGCCUGUCCUGAUCUUUGUAAUGACUGGUCAAAAAAGGGAAAAGAAAGUAAUUCAGACAGCCUCCUGUCUAUUAGUGACAUGAAAGACAAGACUUUCAAAGCCUGUUCUGCUUUCUCUUCAGGUUUAAAAGACACUCCCUUCAAGGUCACAUCCGUUUCCACUGGAGUGAUUCAAAGUAAAAAUCACCUGAACGUAAACAGCGCUGCCUGAUAGAGUGGAGGACAAUGAUGGGGCCACUGACAACGAUACCACUCAGGGAGCGAGUCCAUGACAGUCACAGCCGUGGUGGAUGUGGGCCGAGGAAGAAGAGGAAGGGUUGUGGAGGGUGGGGCUGGAUGGGAGAGGGGUACUGAUUGGCUUGCCGUCUCCUGGGGUGCGUGUUUGCCUGCAGGGAAAGGUCAUGGGAGGGAACAGGAGUAACGAGGUGUGAAGGGAAGGCACUGUCCUCGGCUCCUGGGCCCUAGGAGACAUCCCUGGCAAGGUGUUAAUGCAGAUGCUGCAGCCUCCCCAGGUUCUGUUUAUUACACCUCUUUGAGGAAAGCCAGCCUGGAGUCUCACCAUCAGUCAAUACGGCUAAAAACAUGCUAAUCAGGAGUACAAACUGGCAGCAAGUCUGACUCAUCGGUCCACAGACGGAUAAACACCAAAUGUGGGAAAGCUUGGCUGUGUGUUUUUUAAUUUUGGAGUGUACACUUUAUACUGUGAGUAACAUACUUUACUCAGAGAGAAGGUGCUGCUCUGCUGAAAAUGAUGCAAUCCUGAUGUGUGGUUGUUGUUCUUCCUGCUAUCACACUAAUCCAGUCCUAGAAGAGCCUGUCCAACCUUCAGCCUCUUUAAAUGAUCUGUUAAUGACAGCUCGAGUCAUUCUCUUUGACACACGCUUUUAUUUUGAAGUGACUGCAUUAUGAUUGUGAAAUCAAAUGUGACACGUUGGUAUAUUUAUAUUCAUUAUCAGUCAAUUUGCUUUUAUCUCUCGCCACCAGUUCCGUUAUUGCUCAUGUUUUCACACGCUGCACUUCAAUAUUUCUUCAUGUCAUACAUGUUUUUUUAGCUUGCGGUGCUCUGAGCGUUUCCUUUUGUUGUCCAGAUGUUUUUAAGUACUGUAGAGGGUAAACAAGCCAUUACUGUAAUGACCCAAAUGUCUGUCAGAGGUUUAUUUAUUUAUUUUAUUUUUAAUAGAUUUUCAUCCCUGUUAAUACAUCUGACGAAAUGGAUCAUCUUACAACCUUAACUUCAUCAGAGUUGGAACGAUGAGUCUUUUCCAAGUUAAGAUGGAAAGAGGUUCACUAUUCUGUGAGAGACUACAUGGGAAAAGAGUCCAGGGUUUCCACAAUAAUGUUCCUGAGUGUAAAUUUUUUAAGAGUUUGUGUAUUUCGACAUCUACAGUGCUUAAUUUUAUAAAAAGAUUCUGAAAAUCUGGAGAAAUCUCCGUACAAAACAAAAUACAGGCCCUCAGGCAGCGCUGCAUUAAAAACAGACAAGACUCUGUAGUGGGAGUCUAGCUGAGCGUAGAGUCUGCAAAUAAUUAGUGUCAAUUUGGUUUGAACGGUGUGGCUAAGACUUGCAAAGCUAACACCACCAGCCUCUCUGCAUGUCAGUGUCCACAUGGCUGUGACAUGCCGGUUUUGAUAGACACAGCCUUCAAACAACUUCUUUUCGAGAUCAAAACACUGACAAACCACACGCAAUAUCAUCAGUUGUCAUAGUAAUAUGAUAUAAGCCAUCAACCAGAGCCAUCACAGAAAUGACACAAAUCUGGAAUUUCUCACGUACAGUAAUAAAACAAAGAAUAAUCUGUUUGACCAACUGGCGACUUUCGCGCUGACUAGCAGGUGUAACAAGGUUCGAUUAGUCAAUUUAAUCACACACUGAAAAAAGUGUAACACGCAGUUGUUCAUUCAAACUAAUAACUGUUAUUUAAGACAGGAUAAAAUUAUUGAUUUGAUUGUAAAACUCAUUCUUUUUGCAUUUAGAGACAUAAAGAUUAAUUUAUACUGAACUAAAUAUACGUCCAAAGCACUCAAAACAAAGUUUUUGAUUUCUCUCAGGUUUUUUUUUUCUUCAUGACCUGCAGGUAAUAUUUUUGGUUUGAGUUAAAUGUUACGCAUACGCACUGCACACUGCACAGUCAGAGCACAUGUUAAGUCCCAUAGCUCUCUCUCUCCCUGCAUGCUGUCCAAACUCACCAUUUGACGUCGUGGACGCCACUUGUGUCCUGGGUGGAUUUCGUCCGAAUAUAAACAUCAGUAGCAAAGCAGUUGCCGAUAAUUAAAGGUUGAGUGUUUUGUGUUGUCAAAAUAGCACAGAAUAGCCCAAUUGAAGCUAGCUUAGAUGGGGCGAUAGCUGGAAUGAUUUUAUCUGGCAGUAGCUGGCUAGCUAGUUGGCAGUAGCAGGCUAGCUAGCUAGCAUUUACUGGUGACAUUAUGGUCAUGUUUAUAAGUUUGUUUCGAUAACUAAAAUGUUAAGAAACUAAUUUGGAUCAAGGUAAAGAAUUAAGGUUGAGUCAAGUGCAGUAUUAUUGUUUACUUCAACAUAAAAUAAUCAGGUCAGAGGAAGUUACUCAAUUUAGAUUCUAACAAGUCAAAUAUUUUAGAUGUGAUAUCUGGACAUCUUUUUUUAGUUUGAGCAAGGUUAUCCUUUUUUUAGUGCACAGCUGCUCUUAUAACUAUAAAUGCAAAGUUUCAUGAUGGUUUAACUGGUAAUAACUGGAUAUCAAAACUGGCUCAUGAUACUGGCCACUACCAGCUGGGAGCUAAGUCAUAUAAUAUAAGAUGUUUUUCUGCCCAUUGCCAGUUGAUCUCGUCUUUCUUUGAAUACCUUUAAAAAGCCUCUAAAAAUUUCAGUGUUAAAUACUGACACAAACAAAGCAAACAAGUGUUGAUGCAAUUAGUACAAAGGAAAAUGGCCCUUAUAUAUCAAGUACAACCACAAACCGCGGCUUAAUUUGAGCAUAUGUAAGGAAAAAUGUGUGUUUCAAACAGACAAAGUCAUAACAAAAUGACCUUAACACAACCUGACACAACCCCUGUUUUGUUUCCUGAACAUCCCCUGCAGCCGCAGCAAAACUGCCGUCCCUUCAUGAUCCCAACCUGAGGGGGGGACCACAUGGGACAGCGACCCUCAUUAUGUAUAAAAUAUCAUUAAUUAACUUUAUUGAAUGAGUCACAGUACGGUUUCCACCGCUCGGCUCCCUCAGGGUCCCUCGCCCAAGACCCCACCUUGCCCUGUUUGGAGCCAGCGAGCCAGCAUCCUUCACACCCGCCCUGGCUGGUUCGAGGUGACUUUCCCCCCUUGUGUCAUUGCUUAGAAAGCUGCCAGUAAUUUAUAAUGUUGUGACAGUCAAAUAAACAGGGCUGCCGCUGCUGCUGCUUGCUGGAGUGAAAAAGUCCUGCAUUAAAGGGAAUCAAAACAGCUCCAAAUGGUGCCUUGAAUGGGAAUAAUCUCGGUGUAAGAUCUGUUCUGGGGCUGGCUAAUUUAAAUUUGUUCAGGGUGACAGCUUACUGGGAGAGGGACAUAAUGAAGUCCAUUAUCAUCAGUGGUGCAAAUUCUAAAGAACGAGAACUCUCAUUAUCAGCGCUUUCCUGUAUACGAAGGAAAUAUGUUCAUCCAUUAUGAAAUGUGCUGAGAAUGACAACAUAGAGCAAACAUAAGACAAUGUAAGGCAUGACUCGCAGCAAGGAAAAAUAUGUAACGGUGCUCCUCGGAGACCGGACAAGCCUUUUUUUUUUUUUUUUUUUUUUGCACAAUGCCCUCGCUUGGUUUAUUUAUGGGUGAGGUGCACACAAGAAGGCCGUGUAUUGGGUUUUAACACAGUCAGGGCUGUAAUAGGCAGAUCGUUUUGAUAUCUCACAAUGUUGUAUAAAGUGGUUUUCAACAGCAAGACUGCCUGUGCUUUUAUUUACUGCGCCUUUUCUUCUGCUAAUCUGACAUCUGGUAGACCACGGCAGACCUUGAACAGUGUCUUCCCGGGCAUUAUCUCAUAAAAACAGAGACUCGAUAAUGCUCUUCCAUUAGACAAAUAGCAGAAAUAGCAAUAAGUCAUUUUGGCCAGAAUUAACUGAUAAACAGGAGAAUGAUGGAAGCCUCCAGAUCUGUAACCCGCGAUAACCGCAGCUUUCAGGAAACAUAGAAAGCGAGGACUUCAAGCUGCUCCUAAAAUAUAUUCACUUCAAAGAGUAUGAAAAUGUUUCUGCUGCCAAAAUACUCAUCAAAAGUUAGUUCAGUGCCAGCAUAAUGUGUCGCUGAAUGAAGUGGAGUGCGGGAAAUGGGAAAGGCAGGUGUCAGGGGGGAGUCUCAUACACAUACUAAUGUGUCAUUAAAAGUCAAGUGCACAUGUUCAGAGAUGAGGGCUUGAAUCGAACACAAAGUGCCAUUAAUUAAGAGGCGUUGAUUGCAAAUAUGUAUUUAUUAUAUUAAGGUUAUUACAAACUGAUUGGCGCCUCUACAGACUAAAGGUUGCAUUCGAGCAGAAAAGAUGGUGAUAAUCAGGGAUGGGACAUGAUAACAGUUUAUUCAUACCGACGCUAUCAUUGAUUCUGCUAAUGGAUAUAAAUCUUUUACAAUUCCCAUGGCUUCUCUACGUGGGAAAAAAGUCUGUGAAUGCAGGUUUUAGAUAUUCAUAACCUUAUUCCUCUGAUGAGACUGAAGCCUGGCUUCUGAUUGGUCCUUUAUAGGUCAGCUGAUCACAAAUACAACUUAUGAUUGGUCACCAUACCAAAGAUGGCAGCCUCUAUUCAACAUAGCCAGCUAACGACUGAUUAACUAAAAUUUAUGCAUAAAUCAUCACUGAUUACCC